UUCACUAAAAUCUUUUACUGAGCUGGAAAUCAGCAGUUUAUAAAGAACAGAAAUAAGAAUCCUUCAAUAUGUUUGAAUUUCAAACAUACUGAAAACUGACAAAUACAAGGAGGCCUACCAAACAAAGGCAAGGAUAUCGCAACUAGUUCAAAUUGUCUUCACUAGUGCCUUCGGGCAUCUAGUACACGGCUUCCAUGCAGAAGAGGAACUGAAAUGCAGCAAGAACAGAAAAGGGCAGACUGGUCAGAGAACUACUGCAUUGACCCAAGUAACCACAGCAGCAUGAACUAAUCAAUAAGACCAUAAAGCAGGAAGGAGAGAGAUCUAUAUUACAUACACAUGAAUUAGGAUAAAAUUUUCUUCAUAUAGUUAUGCAAGUUAGUCAUUAUCUGUAAGUUUCCUAUACUGUUGAAAAAGUUCCCCAACAUCAGCCUGAUUUUGGAGUUCCCUUAGGAAAUUCAAGUUCAGUUACAUCAUCCUUUAGUGAACUGAGACU
Long non-coding RNA from Talpa occidentalis (Iberian mole), 496 nucleotides. RefSeq lists it as uncharacterized. NCBI's taxonomy places the organism in Eukaryota, Metazoa, Chordata, Mammalia, Eulipotyphla, Talpidae. The transcript has 3 exons. The record is from RefSeq and is a predicted model, not a curated record.